CCUACGGGAGGCAGCAGUGAGGAAUAUUGGUCAAUGGGCGGGAGCCUGAACCAGCCAAGUCGCGUGAGGGAAGACGGUCCUAUGGAUUGUAAACCUCUUUAGGCGGGGAGCAAAGCCGGGCACGUGUGCCCGGAGGGAGAGUCCCCGCAGAAUAAGAAUCGGCUAACUCCGUGCCAGCAGCCGCGGUAAUACGGAGGAUGCGAGCGUUAUCCGAAUUUAUGGGGUUUAAAGGGUGCGUGUGCGGAUUUUUAAGUCAGCGGUAAAAUGUCCGGGUUCAACCCGGACCGGCCGUUGAAACUGGGGAUCUUGAGUGGGCGAGAGGUAUGCGGAAUGCGUGGUGUAGCGGUGAAAUGCAUAGAUAUCACGCAGAACUCCGAUUGCGAAGGCAGCAUACCGGCGCCCGACUGACGCUGAGGCACGAAAGCGUGGGGAUCGAACAGGAUUAGAUACCCCAGUAGUC
This 460-nucleotide ribosomal RNA is filed under the name uncultured bacterium. Its description in RNAcentral is "partial 16S ribosomal RNA". It matches the Rfam family "Bacterial small subunit ribosomal RNA", at positions 338 to 795 of the family's 1533-position model. The record is from RNAcentral.